AUUGAGAGUUUGAUCCUGGCUCAGGAUGAACGCUAGCUACAGGCUUAACACAUGCAAGUCGAGGGGCAUCGGGGAGGAAGCUUGCUUUCUCUGCCGGCGACCGGCGCACGGGUGAGUAACGCGUAUCAAACCUGCCUCAUACUCGGGAAUAGCCUUGCGAAAGUAAGAUUAAUGCCCGAUGUUCUCCAUUAUCCGCAUGUUUGAUGGAGUAAAGAUUUAUCGGUAUGAGAUGGUGAUGCGUCCCAUUAGCUUGUUGGCGGGGUAACGGCCCACCAAGGCAUCGAUGGGUAGGGGUUCUGAGAGGAAGGUCCCCCACAUUGGAACUGAGACACGGUCCAAACUCCUACGGGAGGCAGCAGUGAGGAAUAUUGGUCAAUGGACGGAAGUCUGAACCAGCCAGGUAGCGUGCAGGAUGACGGCCCUCCGGGUUGUAAACUGCUUUUAGUUGGGAAUAAAGUGCGGCUCGUGAGCUGUUUUUGUAUGUACCAUCAGAAAAAGGACCGGCUAAUUCCGUGCCAGCAGCCGCGGUAAUACGGAAGGUCCGGGCGUUAUCCGGAUUUAUUGGGUUUAAAGGGAGCGCAGGCGGAUUUUUAAGUCAGUUGUGAAAUACGGCGGCUCAACCGUCGGACUGCAGUUGAUACUGGAAGUCUUGAGUGCACACAGGGAUACUGGAAUUCAUGGUGUAGCGGUGAAAUGCUCAGAUAUCAUGAAGAACUCCAAUCGCGAAGGCAGGUAUCCGGAGUGCUACUGACGCUGAGGCUCGAAAGUGCGGGUAUCAAACAGGAUUAGAUACCCUGGUAGUCCGCACAGUAAACGAUGAAUACUCGCGGUUGGCGAUAUACUGUCAGCCGCCAAGCGAAAGCGUUAAGUAUUCCACCUGGGGAGUACGCCGGCAACGGUGAAACUCAAAGGAAUUGACGGGGGCCCGCACAAGCGGAGGAACAUGUGGUUUAAUUCGAUGAUACGCGAGGAACCUUACCCGGGCUUGAACUGCCAGUGACAGAUGCAGAGACGCAUUCUUCUUCGGACACUGGUGGAGGUGCUGCAUGGUUGUCGUCAGCUCGUGUCGUGAGAUGUCGGCUUAAGUGCCAUAACGAGCGCAACCCUCAUCCCUGUUUGCCAUCAGUUCGGCUGGGCACUCCAGGGAUACUGCCAUCGUAAGAUGUGAGGAAGGUGGGGAUGACGUCAAAUCAGCACGGCCCUUACGUCCGGGGCUACACACGUGUUACAAUGGGCGGUACAGAGGGCAACCAAGCCGUGAGGUGGAGCAAAUCCCUUAAGGCCAUUCUCAGUUCGGAUUGUAGGCUGAAACUCGCCUACAUGAAGCUGGAGUUACUAGUAAUCGCAGAUCAGAAUGCUGCGGUGAAUGCGUUCCCGGGUCUUGUACACACCGCCCGUCACACCAUGGGAGUUGGAGACACCCGAAGCCGACUAUCUAACCUUUUGGGAGAAGUCGUCGAAGGUGGAAUCAAUAACUGGGGUGAAGUCGUAACAAGGUAGCCGUAAAU
This 1508-nucleotide ribosomal RNA is filed under the name uncultured bacterium. RNAcentral's name for it is "bacterial SSU rRNA". It matches the Rfam family "Bacterial small subunit ribosomal RNA". The record is from RNAcentral.